This 366-nucleotide ribosomal RNA is filed under the name Triticum aestivum (bread wheat). RNAcentral's name for it is "partial small subunit ribosomal RNA". The record is from RNAcentral. Lineage: Eukaryota; Viridiplantae; Streptophyta; Magnoliopsida; Poales; Poaceae.
AUGAAGAGGAUCGCAAAUGAACUUGCGGAGUCGAUCCAUCAUCCAUCCCCUGACGCAGACAUCGAUCAAGAAUUCAAGAUCGAGAGAGCAGACCGGUCGACCAUGGCGAGGUCUGGUGGCCGGUGGGUCGUUGCGGCGGCGAUAGUGGUGCUGCUGCUGACCACGGUGUCAUCAGCAUCAGCAGCAGCAGGUGUCGAUUCAGCAACGACGGCACCGGCCAAGGUGUGGCAGCUCCCUCCAAGGAUCCCUACAGAGCCCUUCCCGGUGCCAAAGCCCCCUUCUUCGUCGUCGUGGAAGGCGGUGAAGUCGUCUCUUCCUCCUCGCCACCGCCUCCCUACGGAACCGCCGUCGGAAAAGCGUACGUAA